AGCUCAGACAGAAGAGGCGACGUUGCUUUCUUAACCACUGGAUUUGCAGUGCUGUGGUUCUCAGAAGAGGCCAGGACAGGUUAAUCCACUCGCUUGGGAGAUUGAAUGUACAGCUGGUAUAAAAAUGGUGCUUUGUCAUCAUGAAGAAGGUGUAUUCUGGGAUCAAACCACCUGGCUGGAGAUGCUUACUAACCUCAGUUUCUUCAUCUGACCUUAUCUUUCUAAAAGAAUAAGAAGAAGAUGAUACAUAUUCCUCUAAAGUCCCAACAGAAACCUUUUCCCCUCACUCCCUCCCCAGAGAUGUGUAUCAUUUCCAUGAGUGUCUGUACUUUUACAACAUGUGCAUAUUAAUAAACAAAAUAUGACAAA
This 369-nucleotide non-coding RNA is filed under the name Pan troglodytes (chimpanzee). Lineage: Eukaryota; Metazoa; Chordata; Mammalia; Primates; Hominidae. The record is from RNAcentral.